Molecule: ribosomal RNA, 439 nt
Filed under: uncultured bacterium
Lineage: Bacteria
Description: partial 16S ribosomal RNA
Rfam family: Bacterial small subunit ribosomal RNA
Source: RNAcentral
CUACGGGUGGUACCAGUGGGGAAUAUUGGACAAUGGGCGCAAGCCUGAUCCAGCAAUGCCGCGAGAGUGAAGACGGCCUUAGGGUUGUAAAACUCUUUCGCUAGGGAAGAUAAUGACUGUACCUAGUAAAGAAGUCCCGGCUAACUCCGUGCCAGCAGCCGCGGUAAUACGGGGGGGACUAGCGUUGUUCGGAAUUACUGGGCGUAAAGAGUUCGUAGGCGGACUGACAAGUUAGAGGUGAAAUCCCAGGGCUCAACCCUGGAACUGCCUUUAAAACUGUCAGUCUAGAGACCGGAAGAGGUUAGGGGAAUACCUAGUGUAGAGGUGAAAUUCGUAGAUAUUAGGUGGAACACCAGUGGCGAAGGCGCCUAACUGGUCCGGUACUGACGCUGAGGAACGAAAGCGUGGGGAGCAAACAGGAUUAGAUACCCGGGUAGUC